GAUUCCGUAGCUCAGCUGGGAGAGCACCACCUUGACAGGGUGGGGGUCGCUGGUUCGAACCCAGUCGGGAUCACUA
This 76-nucleotide transfer RNA is filed under the name Caldibacillus thermoamylovorans. Its description in RNAcentral is "Bacillus thermoamylovorans tRNA-Val". It matches the Rfam family "tRNA". From Rfam's summary of the family: Transfer RNA (tRNA) molecules are approximately 80 nucleotides in length. Their secondary structure includes four short double-helical elements and three loops (D, anti-codon, and T loops). The record is from RNAcentral. Lineage: Bacteria; Bacillati; Bacillota; Bacilli; Caryophanales; Bacillaceae. RNAcentral also lists the same sequence under 1 other name.